Long non-coding RNA from Armigeres subalbatus, 2152 nucleotides. RefSeq lists it as uncharacterized. The transcript is spliced from 3 exons. Lineage: Eukaryota; Metazoa; Arthropoda; Insecta; Diptera; Culicidae. The record is from RefSeq and is a predicted model, not a curated record.
UUUCGCAGUUGUUACGCAUUAUCUGAAGAUGGUCCAAUAAAUCCGGGAUGGAGGGAACAGUUGGCGGUUGUUCUUGUUGAUACUCAUCAGAAGACUGGCAGUGUCGCCGCUCAAGACGCGCUCAGUUUAAGCUUAACAUAUAUUUAUUUUAUAUUUAUACCGGAAGAUCACCCGACGGAGUUCGAAUUUAUCGUUGAUCUCGGCAUUAAAUGCCGAAAUUUUGACUUGGAUGGUUAGCCAUCAAAAUCUCAAGCAGAGGGCCGAAUGCCGUAACGACAUUUUCGGUAUUUGUGACGUGCUGCUAUCGAUAAAUAAAAAGGAAAAGAAGAAAAACAACCAUGGACGCUUGGUGCAAUUUAACUUGAGAUGGACAUAUGUCCAGCCAGAGCAGAGACGACCUUUUGCACCAAUAUCGCUUUGGAAUCUCAAAUCCACCAGAAUGAAGGAGUCAACACAAACCGAUUCCCGGCAUAAUGGAUGUUUCUCAUCUGCAAUCGCAAGCCCAUCCAUAGAUUCAACAACAACCGCCAAAAGCGCAUAUUUUUCUUGUUAUGAAAAAUGUAUCACCACUCGGAUGUAUUUCCACUAAAAAUACCAGUAUUUUCAUCAUCGAUCAAACCUAAAUGAAGACAAAGUGUCCAAGGAAAACUCCCUCUACGACCACCACCACGCACGCAUUCCACUUCAACUACUUCUUGAUGUCGGGUCUUUCAACCGGUUAGAUCGAGAAGAUAAUGAAGUCGUUGGAGCCGUUCAAAUCAUCCAACGAAAUAUUUGCUAAGUGUUCAAUGGUAUGCACGAAGAAUAAGGAACAUAAGCACGAACAUCAAGAAUUGAUUGUAAAAUCGGAAACUACCUCGGUAGUGGAAAUGACUGAGGCAAAGGGCGACUAUUACAGCUUAAGUGAUAGCAGAGUAUCAUCAAAGGGAGCGAAGGAAUAUCUACACUACCAACCCCACCGUCACAGGCUCGGUCACAGCACACCCGAUGAUUAUCACCACUUACGGAUCAAAGGAUCCUGGACCGAUUGUUAUUAAUAUCAAAGACCCAGCUCCACAACAGCCGAUAUCUGCAGAAUGGGCAAAAGGUAUUAUGUUUUCUCUUGUGCUCAGCACAAAGAAAGGAAAAUUCCCAUCUUCGUAAGCUGCAUCCUCCAAAAACAGUAACUACGCAAGUACGUACACCGAGCGUACACAUUCGUCAACCCAUCUAAAUGUACACCUCGUCAUUUCUAUGCAUCAAUCAUUGUUCAAUGCCUAACGCCUCGUGACCGCCAAAGGCUAUCUACGUAUAGCCAUACAAGACUCGUUGAAUUAAAGUGCGUCUGUUACUAUUGAACUAGAGGAAUAGAGGGAGACUGUCUUGAGAAGGAAAAAAAACGAAUCGUUAGAACUGCUGCAACUGGAUGUUAAGUUGAACAAACGUGCUCUAAUGACUAGUACCAUUUAGUACUGAAGAGCACCAUCGACAGAUUCCGGCUGAAAAAUAUAAAAAGUAUACUUGCUGCAGCAACAGUACCGGAAUUUUAUGUAGAGUAUUGCAGUGACCUCAAAUGGAUACCACUCCGCCUACGAUUUGGUGCAUGAGAGUUCACCGAGGAACUUCGAACAGACAAACUUCAACGCGGAGCAAUUAACGGUAAAGAACUAACCGGUGUUCCAGUAGAUGCACAAGGGAGUGGACAGCAGUAUUUUCAAAACCACCUGGAGUAUUCCAACAUUAGCGUCAUCCGGGUGAGACUGAUCAAGUUGUAUGUCGUAUUCCUCAGACUACGAUUGCGGUGGUAAUACGAGGCGGCGAAAAAUGUCGUUUUACGUUCUAAUGUCGUAUGUACAUGAUUUACUAACCACGCGCAGGAUAUUUUUCCACCAACUCAGCAUGAAAAAAUGGAUGUUUUCAACUGGUGAUCAAGCUGUUCCAGUGUUCCAUACUUAAAAGAAACCAAUAUCCCAGAUUCAGUAACAGCCGUCAUACAGGCAGAAAGGAUAGGAGACAAACACGGAUCAUUUGACGAGUCAGUUUCUCAUGCUAGUUCAUGUUCGAGGCAAUGCUAACAGUCAAAAUAAUGACACUCCUUCCCUCCAGUAUCAAUAAGACAGUUAUUUUAAGAUUUAAUGAAUCAAAUUAGUGUUUAGUAAAGAAUCUUCUGUAU